AAAAAAAGCGGAGGAUAUGAAUUGACAAUUCACAAAAGAAAUACAAGUGGUAAAUGAAUUUAGGACUAAAUGUUAAGAGGUCAGUGAUAGUUAUUAAAAUGCAGAGUAAUACAAUAGUGAAAUCAGUUUUUUAUUUUUGCCCCUGGAUUGCAAUAGGCAGCAUGGGGCACAGUGUUGGGAAGGGGGAAGAGCCUUCCUUUUAAACUUAACAGUAUUGGUGGCCUGUAAAUUGGUUAGGUCUUUUGAUUGGACUUGGUAAAAGUCAUAAGCUUAAAUUACAUAUACCCUUUGCUCUGAUAAUUCCACUCCUAAAAAUGUGUACUACAGAACCUGCUUCCACAAGUAUUCAGAUAUGUACAAGAAUGUUUAUGCAGUGUAAAAGGAAAAAGUAAAGACAUGAAGGCCAAGGUAGGCUCUGCAGAUGGCAUACAUAUCAAUAAGGGAACAAGCAACACAG
Molecule: long non-coding RNA, 457 nt
Organism: Pipistrellus kuhlii (Kuhl's pipistrelle)
Lineage: Eukaryota; Metazoa; Chordata; Mammalia; Chiroptera; Vespertilionidae
Exons: 2
Source: RefSeq, a predicted model, not a curated record